AUGGAGGGCGGCAAGGCGGCGGCCUACGCCCACCACCACGACACCGCCAGGCUGCUCAAGGCCUUCAGCCGCACCGUCGAGCCGCGCAACUUCGGCAUCGGCCUCGUCGCCGGAUUCCUCCUCGUCACCUGCGCGUACUUCUCCACCGCCAAGUUCGACGCCAUCCACAUCGCGCCCCUCGUCAGCCCCCUGGAGACCCGGAUUGGCUCGCCGGUGAGUGCCGCCGCCGCCGGCUCCAAGACCCAAUUAGAUUUGGGCGUGCCGGGGCAGGACGCGGCAUUAUCCGGGGAGGGGAGCAAGGCCGAGGUGCUGGACACGGACGGCGACGACCACACGACCACCUCCCCCUCCUCCUCUUCACCGCAAGAUUUGGUCCACGAUGCGUCGCUGGCGGACACGAAGAAAGAUGACACCUUUGCCGUGGAGGCCGCCAAGGACGAUGACGCCGCCGGCGCUCUUCUCCCUCCCCUGUCGGCAAACGGCACGCAAGAGGAACAAGGUGUUCUUGAGGACCAGGAGCUGCUAGUGCAGGAUGCCAUUGCCGCUGCUAAUUCACCAAACAAGAGCUCCAGCAAUGGCGGCUCACAGUCCGUGGUUCAAUCCGACCCGGCGACGAUUCCUGCUCCAGUCCAGCAGACUCCUCCUACCGUUCCAGUUCCAGAGGCUCCCAAGCAGGAGGAGGCCAAGGCUCCUCCACUCCAGCAGAUUCCCCUCACUCCAGAGGCUGUCAAGCAGCAGCCAGGUUCGGAGGAGGCGGCGACGGCGCCCCGGCGGGAGUGGAAGCCGCUGUGCGACCUGACGUCGAACCGGCGCAUCGACUGGUGCGAGCUGGACGGCGACGUGCGCGUCCACGGCGCCAAGGCCACCGUCACCCUGGUCGGCGCGCCGCAGGCCGAGGAGUGGCGCAUCAGGCCGUACCCGCGCAAGGUCGACCCCAACGCCAUGCGCCACGUCACCAACAUCACCGUGCGCUCCACCACGACUCUCCCCGGCGCCGGCGAGGACGCCGAGUGCGCGAUCAGGCACUCGGUGCCGGCGCUGCUCUUCUCGGACCGCGGGUACACGGGCAACUACUUCCACGCCUACACCGACGUCAUCCUGCCGCUCUUCCUCACGGCCAAGCAGUACGGCGGGGAGGUGCAGUUCCUCGUCUCCGACCUGCAGAUGUGGUGGGUCGGCAAGUUCCUCCCCGUCUUCAAGAGCCUCUCCAACUACGACCUCGUCGACCUCGCCGCCGACAACCGCACCCGCUGCUUCCGCCACGUCCAGGUGGGGCUCACCUGCCACGCCGACUUCAGCAUCGACCCGCUCCGCGGCCCCAACGGCUACUCCAUGGUCGACUUCACCAAGCACAUGCGCGGCGUCUACGGCCUCCCCCGCGGCCUCGCCGUGCCGGCCACCGGCGCCAGGCCACGGCUUCUGCUCAUCGCGCGCGCUAGCACGCGGCGGUUCGUGAACGCCGACGACAUCGUGCGCGCGGCGCAGAAGGUCGGGUUCGAGGUGGUGGUGUCGGAGGGCACGCACGAGGUGGCGCCCUUCGCGGAGCUGGCCAACACGUGCGACGCCAUGCUGGGCGUGCACGGCGCCGGGCUGACCAACAUGGUGUUCCUGCCCACGGGCGGGGUGGUGAUCCAGGUGGUGCCGCUGGGCGGGCUGGAGUUCGUCGCCGGCUACUUCCGGACGCCGUCCAGGGACAUGGGCCUGAAAUACCUCGAGUACCGGAUCGCGCCGGCGGAGAGCACGCUGACGGAGCAGUACCCGCCGGACCACGCCAUCUUCACGGACCCCGACGGCGUGAAGAGCAAGGGGUGGGAGUCGCUGAAGCAGGUGUACCUGGACAAGCAGGACGUCCGGCUGGACCUCAAGAGGUUCCGGCCGCUGCUCAAGAAGGCCAUCGCGCACAUCAGAGCAAACAAGCUCCAGUGA
This 1926-nucleotide ribosomal RNA is filed under the name Triticum aestivum (bread wheat). RNAcentral's name for it is "partial small subunit ribosomal RNA". The record is from RNAcentral. Lineage: Eukaryota; Viridiplantae; Streptophyta; Magnoliopsida; Poales; Poaceae.